This 253-nucleotide ribosomal RNA is filed under the name uncultured bacterium. RNAcentral describes it as "partial 16S ribosomal RNA". It matches the Rfam family "Bacterial small subunit ribosomal RNA", at positions 524 to 776 of the family's 1533-position model. The record is from RNAcentral.
UACGUAGGAUGCUAGCGUUGUUCGGAAUCACUGGGCGUAAAGCGUAUGUAGGCGGGCUUUUAAGUCAGGUGUGAAAUCCCAUGGCUCAACCAUGGAAUUGCAUUUGAAACUGGAAGUCUUGAGUGUGGGAGAGAUUGGUAGAAUACCUGGUGUAGUGGUGAAAUACGUAGAUAUCAGGUGGAAUACCGGUGGCGAAGGCGGCCAAUUGGCCCAACACUGACGCUGAGAUACGAAAGCGUGGGGAUCAAACAGG